GACGAACGCUGGCGGCGUGCCUAACACAUGCAAGUCGAACGGAGUGAUGAUUUCGGUUAUCACUUAGUGGCGAACGGGUGAGUAACGCGUGAGAAACCUGCCUUUCAGUGGGGGACAACAGUUGGAAACGACUGCUAAUACCGCAUAAUGUCAUUUGGGGGCAUCCCUGGAUGACCAAAGAUUUAUUGCUGAAAGAUGGGCUCGCGUCUGAUUAGCUGGAUGGCGGGGUAACGGCCCACCAUGGCGACGAUCAGUAGCCGGACUGAGAGGUUGAACGGCCACAUUGGGACUGAGAUACGGCCCAG
RNAcentral lists this ribosomal RNA (305 nucleotides) under uncultured bacterium. RNAcentral's name for it is "bacterial SSU rRNA". It matches the Rfam family "Bacterial small subunit ribosomal RNA", at positions 28 to 334 of the family's 1533-position model. The record is from RNAcentral.